AUGGUCCGGGUGAUUUUUUUUAGCUGGUCUCGGAACGCCACAUUGAUUCUGGAGUCACAUGGACUUCAGAAAUUUUUGAAGGACGAUGAAAAAAAACCAACGGAUGUCACACAAGAGCAAUGGGAUCAGAAUCAAAAGCGAGUUAUGGUAUGGCUGUUGGGGUCGAUGGAGAAGACUGUUAGGGAACAAGUUGAAGGGUUUCAGUCUGCAGCUGAGGUGUGGACAAGCAUUGAGAAACAGUUCUCAGGAAAAUCGAACAAGAUGCAAGUCAGUAGGAUUUUCCAUGAAUUGAGGCAGAUCAAGCAAGAGCAGAAGACAGUGACUGAAUUUGCGGGAGAAAUCAAGAAACUCUAUAGAGACCUGGAGUAUUUUAGACCAUUUAAGGCACAUGAUCCCAGGGACGUACCCCUCCUUCGAGAGUGGUUUGAACCAUUGUUGGUUCAGACUUUUCUUGAUGGUCUGAACUCAGAGUUCAAUCUCCGUUCCCAACUCAUACAAGCCACAGCAGAUUGGCCUACAUUGGAUCAAGCCAUCUCAAGUAUACUUGAGGAAGAAACACGGCUGGCCAAUCAGAUCACAACUUCACAAACAAAUGUUGAUAGCAGAGCUGCACUAUCUUCAGUGAAGCAAAUUCAGUCUCCUGGUACUUCAAGAAAUGAGCAAGCAAAUGCUACUUGA
RNAcentral lists this ribosomal RNA (678 nucleotides) under Triticum aestivum (bread wheat). RNAcentral describes it as "partial small subunit ribosomal RNA". Lineage: Eukaryota; Viridiplantae; Streptophyta; Magnoliopsida; Poales; Poaceae. The record is from RNAcentral.